RNAcentral lists this long non-coding RNA (468 nucleotides) under Phoenix dactylifera (date palm). Its description in RNAcentral is "long non-coding RNA (PDAC_LNC022809)". Lineage: Eukaryota; Viridiplantae; Streptophyta; Magnoliopsida; Arecales; Arecaceae. The record is from RNAcentral.
UCUUUCUUCUUGUUUAUCAAACUACUUGUAAUAGGUUGUUGGUGAACCCGUAAAACCAACAUAGGUUCGUUGGUGAGCCCGUAAAACCAACAUAGGUUUUUGGUGAACCCGGAAAACCAAAGUGUAUAGGUUCGUUGGUGAGCCCGUAAAACCAACAAAGGUUUUUGGUGAACCCGGAAAACCAAAGUGUAAAGGUUCGUUGGUGAGCCCGUAAAACCAACAAAGGUUUUUGGAUUGUGAGCCCGGAAAACAAUCCAACUGUAAUCCGCGGGAUUAUAGUGAAUUCCCAAGGGGGCGCUUGGGGAGUGGACGUAGGUACUAAGGAGAGCACCGAACCAUUAUAUAUUGUUGUGUUUGUGUUGUGCUUGUGCUUACGUUUAUUCUUGCAUCAUCUUCUAUCUUUGCACUAGUUUAAAUCAUUCAAAUGGUUUAAGGAAGCAUCCACCGCACUUAAUUAAGAAACGUUUA